GAGCAGAAUAAUAAAACAAUUUAAAACAUAUGAUAACAUGGAAUGCAUCACAACACAGCUAAUCACAUCAAGGAUGAAUUUGUCACCAAUAGUCCCCUACAUGGACCAACUGUGCCAGGGGCAUAGAAUGGGCCUCACUGGUCUUUCUCUUACAUAACAUAACAUAACAUGGUCCAACUGUGCCAGGGGCGUAGAAUGGGCCUCACUGGUCUUUCUCUUACAUAGUGCCAGGGGCGUAGAAUGGGCCUCACUAGUCUUCCGUACCGUAUCAUCAUCAUCAUAGCAUAAGGGGACUAAUGGAUCAUUCAACAUCCAUCCACAUCAUCAAACAUAAUAUGCAAUGCAACAUAUUCG
RNAcentral lists this long non-coding RNA (354 nucleotides) under Manihot esculenta (cassava). RNAcentral describes it as "long non-coding RNA (MESC_LNC012648)". The record is from RNAcentral. Lineage: Eukaryota; Viridiplantae; Streptophyta; Magnoliopsida; Malpighiales; Euphorbiaceae.